AUAAAGUAGCGAAGUCCGUGAGCCAUGCGUCAAGAAAAGCCGCUAUCGUUCAUACCGUACCCGUACCGUAAACCGACACAGGUGGAUGAGGAGAGAAUCCUAAGGCCGGCGGAAGAAGCAUUGUCAAGGAACUCGGCAAAAUGGCCCCGUAACUUAGGGAUAAGGGGUGCCUGGGAAACCAGCCCGCAGAGAAUAGGCUCAAGCAACUGUUUAGCAAAAACACAGGUCUAUGCGAAACCGAAAGGUGAGGUAUAUGGGCUGACGCCUGCCCGGUGCUGGAAGGUUAAGAGGAGAGGUUAGCGCAAGCGAAGCUUUGAAUUUAAGCCCCAGUAAACGGCGGCCGUAACAAUAACGGUCCUAAGGUAGCGAAAUUCCUUGUCGGGUAAGUUCCGACCCGCACGAAAGGCGUAAUGAUUUGAGCGCUGUCUCGACAAUGCAUCCGGUGAAAUUGAAGUACCAGUGAAGAUGCUGGUUACCUGCGCCAGGACGGAAAGACCCCAUGGAGCUUUACUCCAGUCUGGUACUGGGACUCGGUAUUGCAUGUACAGGAUAGGUGGGAGGCUAGGAGAUGGUAACGCCAGUUGCCAUGGAGCCGCUGUUGGGAUACCACCCUUGCAGUAUUGGGUUUCUAACCAGCCGCCGUGACCCGGCGGUGGGACAAUGCCAGACGGGGAGUUUGACUGGGGCGGUCGCCUCCGAAAGGGUAUCGGAGGCGCCCAAAGGUUCCCUCAGAAUGGACGGAAACCAUUCGAAGAGUGCAAAGGCAGAAGGGAGCUUGACUGCGACAUCGACGGGUGGAGCAGGUACGAAAGUAGGGCUUAGUGAUCCGGUGGUAUUAAGUGGGAAUGCCAUCGCUCAACGGAUAAAAGCUACCCUGGGAUAACAGGCUUAUCACUCCCAAGAGUUCACAUCGACGGAGUGGUUUGGCACCUGAUGUCGGCUCAUCGCAUCCUGGGGCUGUAGUAGGUCCCAAGGGUUGGGCUGUUCGCCCAUUAAAGCGGUACGCGAGCUGGGUUCAGAACGUCGUGAGACAGUUCGGUCCCUAUCCGGCGUGGGCGUAGGAUAUCUGAGAGGAGCUGUCCUUAGUACGAGAGGACCGGGAUGGACGGGCCGCUGGUGCAUCGGUUAGACUGCCAAGUCUACGGCCGAGUAGCCAAGCCCGGAAGGGAUAAACGCUGAAGGCAUCUAAGCGUGAAGCCCCCCUUAAGAUGAGAUAUCCCAUUCGAAAGAAGUAAACCCCCUUGAAGACGACGAGGUAGAUAGGGCAGAGGUGGAAGUGCAGCAAUGCAUGGAGCUGACUGUUACUAAUCGGGUGAGGGCUUGACCG
This 1327-nucleotide ribosomal RNA is filed under the name metagenome. RNAcentral describes it as "bacterial LSU rRNA". It matches the Rfam family "Bacterial large subunit ribosomal RNA", at positions 1578 to 2925 of the family's 2925-position model. The record is from RNAcentral.